Molecule: long non-coding RNA, 339 nt
Filed under: Carica papaya (papaya)
Lineage: Eukaryota; Viridiplantae; Streptophyta; Magnoliopsida; Brassicales; Caricaceae
Description: long non-coding RNA (CPAP_LNC008754)
Source: RNAcentral
AUCUGUUGAAUCAUCCUGAAUAUAUUGAGCAAAAUGCUACACUUGCUUUCCAGGCUGCAAUUUGGAGAUGGAUGACACCCAUAAAAAAGUCACAGCCUUCAGCCCAUGAUAUCUUCGUUGGCAAUUGGAAGCCCACCAAGAAUGACACCUUGGCCAAACGGGGUCCUAACUUUGGCACCACCAUUAACGUUCUCUACGGGGAUCAGAUUUGCGGCCAAGGUGAUAUUGAUCCCAUGAAUAACAUCAUUUCCCACUACCUGUAUUACCUUGACCUGAUGGGUGUCGGCCGAGAGGAAGCUGGGCCUCAUGAAAUGCUCUCAUGUGCGGAACAGCAAGCAU